This 180-nucleotide ribosomal RNA is filed under the name uncultured Glomeromycotina. Its description in RNAcentral is "partial small subunit ribosomal RNA". Lineage: Eukaryota; Fungi; Glomeromycota. The record is from RNAcentral.
GGGUCAGUAGAUUGGUCGUGCCACUGGUAUGUACUGGUCUUACUGGCUCCUCCUUCCUGAUGAACCGUAAUGCCAUUAAUUUGGUGUUGCGGGGAGACUGGACUGUUACUUUGAAAAAAUUAGAGUGUUUAAAGCAAGUGAAUAACAGCCUGAAUACAUUAGCAUGGAAUAAUAGAAUAG